This 84-nucleotide non-coding RNA is filed under the name uncultured Angelakisella sp. Its description in RNAcentral is "Purine riboswitch". The stretch from base 17 to 83 matches the Rfam family "Purine riboswitch aptamer", at positions 20 to 86 of the family's 102-position model. Rfam says of the family: Riboswitches are metabolite binding domains within certain messenger RNAs that serve as precision sensors for their corresponding targets. Allosteric rearrangement of mRNA structure is mediated by ligand binding, and this results in modulation of gene expression. Lineage: Bacteria; Bacillati; Bacillota; Clostridia; Eubacteriales; Oscillospiraceae. The record is from RNAcentral.
ACAAAAUACAGUUUGCUCGAUAUAAAUCAAAUGAUAUGGUUUUGAAGUCUCUACCCGGCCGCCGUAAAUGGCCGGACUAUCGAU